AAGAAUUAGUUAAAAAAUAACUUUAAUAUGUCAAAUUAAUAUUAUCAACCCUUGAUAUUCUUUA
This 64-nucleotide transfer RNA is filed under the name Semidalis aleyrodiformis. RNAcentral describes it as "tRNA-Asp". Lineage: Eukaryota; Metazoa; Arthropoda; Insecta; Neuroptera; Coniopterygidae. The record is from RNAcentral.